CAGAGACUGCAAGCGUUAUUCGGAUUCACUGGGCGUAAAGGGUGCGCAGGUGGCCAAGUGUGUGAGGCGUGAAAGCCUGGGGCUUAACUCCAGAAUUGCACCUCAAACUACAUGGCUAGAGCAUUGGAGAGGGGAGCAGAAUUCACGGUGUAGCAGUGAGAUGCGUAGAUAUCGUGAGGAAUACCAGAGGCGAAGGCGGCUCCCUGGACAAUUGCUGACACUCAGGCACGAAAGCGUGGGGAGCAAAAGGGAUUAGAUACCCCUGUAGUCCACGCCCUAAACGGUGCACACUAGGUCUUGGCGGAUUCGACCCCACCAGGGCCCAAGCUAACGCGUUAAGUGUGCCGCCUGAGGACUACGGUCGCAAGACUA
This 372-nucleotide ribosomal RNA is filed under the name uncultured organism. RNAcentral's name for it is "bacterial SSU rRNA". It matches the Rfam family "Bacterial small subunit ribosomal RNA", at positions 526 to 896 of the family's 1533-position model. The record is from RNAcentral.